This 741-nucleotide ribosomal RNA is filed under the name Triticum aestivum (bread wheat). Its description in RNAcentral is "partial small subunit ribosomal RNA". The record is from RNAcentral. Lineage: Eukaryota; Viridiplantae; Streptophyta; Magnoliopsida; Poales; Poaceae.
AUGAUAAUCAUGGCCUGGAACUGCCGGGGAUUGGGGUUGGACUUGGCAGUUGGCGAACUCAGGGACCUGAUUAGGUCAUACAACCCAGCGGUGGUGUUCUUAUCGGAAACCAAAAAGAGGGCGGGAGCGAUGGACAGACUCAAGUGGAGUUUGGGGUUUAGCAAAGGUGUAGCGGUGGACUGUAAGGGAAAGAGUGGUGGUCUUGCUCUAUGGUGGAGAGACCAUGUCGAGGUUACUGUUAGGCCGUGGUGUCAAUAUUACAUCGAUGCGACCAUGGUCUGUGAUGGUGUCUCCUUUAGGUUCACUGGAAUCUAUGGAGAACCGUGCAUUGAGAAAAGAUCAAAGACCUGGGAGGUCAUGCGUUAUCUCCAUGCUCAAGACAACCUCCCAUGGAUCUGUGCGGGUGAUUUCAACGAAGCACUACACCAUGACGAGCAGCAAGGAGGUAACCCGAGGAGUAGGGCGCAAAUGAAAAUGUUUGAAGAAUGCCUCACCGACUGCGGUCUGGCAGAUCUUGGUUUCUCGGGGUAUCCGUUCACAUGGGAUAACAAGCGGGAUGCGGAUGAUAAUAUACAAGUGUGGCUAGACAGGGCGACAUGCAAUGCAGACUUUGCCCAAGCUUUCCCAGAAACGGAAGUGCUACAUGUGAUGACAGAAGAGUCAGAUCACCAAGCGUUAAUUAUCAAAGCACUAAUGACUGGGGAGGAGCGCCUGGGCGAGAGGCCAGCGCCGAUUUAUUGA